Molecule: ribosomal RNA, 253 nt
Filed under: uncultured bacterium
Lineage: Bacteria
Description: partial 16S ribosomal RNA
Rfam family: Bacterial small subunit ribosomal RNA
Source: RNAcentral
UACGGAAGGGGCGAGCGUUGUUCGGAAUCAUUGGGCGUAAAGGGCGUGUAGGUGGUUCUGUAUGUCUACCGUGAAAGCGUACGGCUCAACCGUAUUUAGUCGGUAGAAACUGCAGGACUUGAGGCUGGGAGGGGCUGGUGGAAUUCCCCGUGUAGCGGUGAAAUGCGCAGAUAUCAGGAGGAACACCGAUGGCGAAGGCAGCUCGCUGGGACGGUACUGACGCUGAGACGCGAAAGCGUGGGGAGCAAACAGG